RNAcentral lists this ribosomal RNA (460 nucleotides) under uncultured bacterium. RNAcentral describes it as "partial 16S ribosomal RNA". It matches the Rfam family "Bacterial small subunit ribosomal RNA", at positions 338 to 795 of the family's 1533-position model. The record is from RNAcentral.
CCUACGGGAGGCAGCAGUGAGGAAUAUUGGUCAAUGGGCGCGAGCCUGAACCAGCCAAGCCGCGUGAAGGAUGACUGCCCUACGGGUUGUAAACUUCUUUUAUAAAGGAAUAAAGUGAGGCACGCGUACCUUUUUGCAUGUACUUUAUGAAUAAGGAUCGGCUAACUCCGUGCCAGCAGCCGCGGUAAUACGGAGGAUCCAAGCGUUAUCCGGAUUUAUUGGGUUUAAAGGGAGCGUAGAUGGGUGGUUAAGUCAGUUGUGAAAGUCUGCGGCUCAACCGUAGAAUUGCCAUUGAUACUGGCAGUCUUGAGUACAGUUGAGGUAGGCGGAAUUCGUGGUGUAGCGGUGAAAUGCUUAGAUAUCACGAAGAACUCCGAUUGCGAAGGCAGCUUACUAAACUGCCACUGACGUUGAUGCUCGAAAGUGUGGGGAGCAAACAGGAUUAGAUACCCUUGUAGUC